RNAcentral lists this ribosomal RNA (582 nucleotides) under Triticum aestivum (bread wheat). Its description in RNAcentral is "partial small subunit ribosomal RNA". Lineage: Eukaryota; Viridiplantae; Streptophyta; Magnoliopsida; Poales; Poaceae. The record is from RNAcentral.
AUGGCAACCAUCAGCGCCACGGCCGUCUUCGUCGCCGCCAGACCGCAGCGGUCUCCAGGGCUGCCUCGGCUGAGGGUGGCCAAGGCCGCCAGGCUGAGGUGCAGCUGCUCCAAGGACCUCAAGAAGAAGGCUUCUUCGGCCCUGGCUAUGGCGGUGGUCAAGGGCGCGCCGCUGCUCGCUGAGGCGAGCGCCAUGGCGGUGGCGGCGGCCCCGGUGCUGGCCCCGGCGCUGGUGGACGAGCGGGUGUCGACCGACGGCACCGGGCUGAGCCACGACCUGCUGGGGUGGAUCCUGAUGGUUGCCUUCGGCCUCGCCUUGUCCUACACCUACUACUCCUCCAUCCUCAAAGACGACAACGACGACGACCAUCCAGCGCCGGCGGCAUCACGAUCUGAACACCACACCGCCAUCUUCUUCUUCCGCCUGCCUGAUCUGGCCGUCAAAGCUUUGCAUGAUUACCAUUGGUCUAUGAAACAUGGACGAAUAUUGAACCCUAAGCUACUGAUUACGGUAGGAAUACUUUUAUUAUUAUUUUGCGAGCAGAGUACUUUCCAUGACGGUUGUCACUAUGAAGCAAGCUGA